GUUUCCCGUAAGGCGCCGAAUGAGUCAUUANAAAAUUAACAUCAUCCGAUCCCUAGUCGGCAUAGUUUAUGGUUAAGACUACGACGGUAUCUGAUCGUCUUCGAUCCCCUAACUUUCGUUCUUGAUUAAUGAAAACAUCCCUGGCAAAUGCUUUCGCAGUAGUUAGUCUUCAAUAAAUCCAAGAAAUUCACCUCUGACAAUUGAAUACUAAUGCCCCCAACUAUCCCUAUUAAUCAUUACGUCGAUCCUAGAAACCAACAAAAUAGGGUCAAACGUCCUAUUUCAUUAUUCCAUGCUAAUAUAUUCAAGCGUGAGCCUGCUUUAAACACUCUAAUUUUUUCAAAGUAACAGUCCUGAUUCCCCGCGACACCAAAUUAAUGACAUCACGGUUCUUCAGAAGGGAGAAACCAGUGACACCAGUGCAUACCAAAGGCAUGACCAGCGUACUGAUCCCGAAAUUCAACUACGAGCUUUUUAACUGCAACAACUUUAAUAUACGCUAUUGGAGCUGGAAUUACCGCGGCUGCUGGCACCAGACUUGCCCA
This 545-nucleotide ribosomal RNA is filed under the name uncultured Glomus. RNAcentral describes it as "partial 18S ribosomal RNA". The record is from RNAcentral. Lineage: Eukaryota; Fungi; Glomeromycota; Glomeromycetes; Glomerales; Glomeraceae.